AGUGAACGCUGGCGGUAGGCCUAACACAUGCAAGUCGAACGGCAGCACAGUAAGAGCUUGCUCUUACGGGUGGCGAGUGGCGGACGGGUGAGGAAUACAUCGGAAUCUACUUUUUCGUGGGGGAUAACGUAGGGAAACUUACGCUAAUACCGCAUACGACCUACGGGUGAAAUCAGGGGAUCUUCGGACCUUGCGCGAUUGAAUGAGCCGAUGUCGGAUUAGCUAGUUGGCGGGGUAAGGGCCCACCAAGGCGACGAUCCGUAGCUGGUCUGAGAGGAUGAUCAGCCACACUGGAACUGAGACACGGUCCAGACUCCUACGGGAGGUAGCAGUGGGGAAUAUUGGACAAUGGGCGCAAGCCUGAUCCAGCCAUACCGCGUGGGUGAAGAAGGCCUUCGGGUUGUAAAGCCCUUUUGUUGGGAAAGAAAAGCAGCAGGUUAAUACCCCGCUGUUCUGACGGUACCCAAAGAAUAAGCACCGGCUAACUUCGUG
RNAcentral lists this ribosomal RNA (492 nucleotides) under uncultured bacterium. Its description in RNAcentral is "partial 16S ribosomal RNA". It matches the Rfam family "Bacterial small subunit ribosomal RNA", at positions 29 to 507 of the family's 1533-position model. The record is from RNAcentral.